GAUAAGCUACACCCAACAAUUGAUUUUUUCCAAGUUGAAAGAAGAAGAUUUAAGAUUUUACUAACCCUUAGCCUGAUUUUACGAUUCAACCUAAGGCUCAGGGGCUACUCCAUAUGGAAUGCGACUUUCGCCGCCUUCCAUAUAUGAAGAUUAUAGAAUCAAGAUGAUCAAAGGCUUUGAGCACACCAUAGCCUCAUGGCAGCUUUGAGAAACUUUGAAGAUUCAGCUAGAUAAAGUACUCGAAGACUACCAAAACUACUCGGUGAGGAUCUUAUAAGUACUCAAAGACUACUGCAUUCGACUAUGAAGCGCUCGGGGGCUUGUCAAGGAUAGAUCCUCAGUACCCGCAAGGAAGGAAGAAGAUGGACUCCUACUAGGAUUCCCCUGUAAUCCUACUAAGACUCAUACCAUGUAGCUGUGGCGGAACCGCCCAAAUUAACCUGACUAAAAUGCAUUGAAGUCGCCUGACACGCGAUUAUGCACUUUAAGCAAGUCAACUUGGUCGACCGUCGGAUUUCCUCCGAUAAACCACAUAAACAGGAUCGAGAAGCAUCGCUCACGCGAAGGUGAG
RNAcentral lists this long non-coding RNA (571 nucleotides) under Setaria italica (foxtail millet). RNAcentral's name for it is "long non-coding RNA (SITA_LNC001436)". Lineage: Eukaryota; Viridiplantae; Streptophyta; Magnoliopsida; Poales; Poaceae. The record is from RNAcentral.